GACGUGUUAUACGGGAUUCUUCCAAUCCCUAACGUCUAAACGGAAACCAUAUUGAGGAGCUGGUCCACCUGUAGGAAGAAUUGCGCUAUUGGUUGGAGCAGCACUAUUCCCCAGCCAUACACCAGCACUUAGUUUGUCAUAGGGAGCAUUUCUGAGCAGUUAUGAAGACCACUAACUAUGCAGUUGUUGCAGUGAAACUUGCACCCAACUCAAAAUCUGACCUUGUAAGGCCAAUAUGAAAUAACUGUGUGGAAAAAUGGGAAAAACCUGCAGUCAGGAAUGCACGGAAAUCAUCAAAAGAACAGUGUUAAAUUAAUCUUGAAUAACUUGACAUUUAUUUUGUUUGACAUAUUUAUUCAUGGUGCAGUGAAAACAUGUUUUUUUUCCUCAUGGUUAUUUAAAUUUAGAAUUGAUAGGAGGGAACAUCAUUAUGUAGUUUCAUGUUCAUAGUCAGAUCAAAAUCCAUGUACAUGUAUAAAUGAGCAUUCG
This is a long non-coding RNA of Mya arenaria, 489 nucleotides long. RefSeq lists it as uncharacterized. The transcript is spliced from 3 exons. The record is from RefSeq and is a predicted model, not a curated record. Lineage: Eukaryota; Metazoa; Mollusca; Bivalvia; Myida; Myidae.